CAAUGGCGUAUAUUUAAGUUGUUGCAGUUAAAAAGCUCGUAGUUGGAUUUCGGAUGGGACUUGCCGGUCCGUCGUUUCGAUGUGCACUGGCCAGUCCUAUCUUGUUGUCGGGGACUAGCUCCUGGGCUUCACUGUCCGGGACUAGGAGCUGACGAGGUUACUUUGAGUAAAUUAGAGUGUUCAAAGCAAGCCUACGCUCUGAAUACAUUAGCAUGGAAUAACACGAUAGGACUCUGGCUUAUCUUGUUGGUCUGUGAGACCAGAGUAAUGAUUAAGAGGGACAGUCGGGGGCAUUCGUAUUUCAUUGUCAGAGGUGAAAUUCUUGGAUUUAUGAAAGACGAACUUCUGUGAAAGCAUUUGUCAAGGAUGUUUUCAUUAA
This 379-nucleotide ribosomal RNA is filed under the name uncultured eukaryote. RNAcentral describes it as "partial 18S ribosomal RNA". It matches the Rfam family "Eukaryotic small subunit ribosomal RNA", at positions 592 to 976 of the family's 1831-position model. The record is from RNAcentral.